GUAAAAGUCGUAACAAGGUUUCCGUAAGGUGAACCUGCGGAAGGAUCAUUAUCGAGUUCUGACUGGGUUGUAGCUGGCCUUCCGAGGCAUGUGCACGCCCUGCUCAUCCACUCUACACCUUGUGCACUUACUGUGGGUUUACGGGUCGUGAAACGGGCUCGUUUAUUCGGGCUUGUUGAGCGCACUUGUUGCCUGCGUUUAUCACAAACUCUAUAAAGUAUCAUAAUGUGUAUUGCGAUGUAACGCAUCUAUAUACAACUUUCAGCAACGGAUCUCUUGGCUCUCGCAUCGAUGAAGAACGCAGCGAAAUGCGAUAAGUAAUGUGAAUUGCAGAAUUCAGUGAAUCAUCGAAUCUUUGAACGCACCUUGCGCUCCUUGGUAUUCCGAGGAGCAUGCCUGUUUGAGUGUCAUGAAAUCUUCAAUCUACAAACUUCUUAUGGAGUUUGUAGGCUUGGACUUGGAGGCUUGUCGGUCCCUUUACAGGUCGGCUCCUCUUAAAUGCAUUAGCUUGGUUCCUUGCGGAUCGGCUUGUCGGUGUGAUAAUGUCUACGCCGCGACCGUGAAGCGUGUUUGGGCGAGCUUCUAACCGUCUCGUUACAGAGACAACUUUUAUGACCUCUGACCUCAAAUUCAGGGUAGGACUACCCGCUGAACUUAAG
RNAcentral lists this ribosomal RNA (659 nucleotides) under Ganoderma sp. 4 YD-2015. RNAcentral's name for it is "eukaryotic LSU rRNA". The stretch from base 257 to 410 matches the Rfam family "5.8S ribosomal RNA". The record is from RNAcentral. Lineage: Eukaryota; Fungi; Basidiomycota; Agaricomycetes; Polyporales; Polyporaceae.